This 727-nucleotide ribosomal RNA is filed under the name uncultured Pasteurellales bacterium. Its description in RNAcentral is "bacterial SSU rRNA". It matches the Rfam family "Bacterial small subunit ribosomal RNA", at positions 62 to 778 of the family's 1533-position model. Lineage: Bacteria; Pseudomonadati; Pseudomonadota; Gammaproteobacteria; Pasteurellales. The record is from RNAcentral.
UCGAACGGUAACAGGGAUUAGCUUGCUAAUCUGCUGACGAGUGGCGGACGGGUGAGUAAUGCUUGGGAAUCUGGCUUAUGGAGGGGGAUAACUACGGGAAACUGUAGCUAAUACCGCGUAAAAUCUUCGGAUUAAAGGGUGGGACUUUCGAGCCACCUGCCAUAAGAUGAGCCCAAGUGGGAUUAGGUAGUUGGUUAGGUAAAGGCUGACCAAGCCGACGAUCUCUAGCUGGUCUGAGAGGAUGACCAGCCACACUGGAACUGAGACACGGUCCAGACUCCUACGGGAGGCAGCAGUGGGGAAUAUUGCACAAUGGGGGGAACCCUGAUGCAGCCAUGCCGCGUGAAUGAAGAAGGCCUUCGGGUUGUAAAGUUCUUUCGGUGACGAGGAAGGUUGGUAGGUUAAUAGCCUAUCAAAUUGACGUUAAUCACAGAAGAAGCACCGGCUAACUCCGUGCCAGCAGCCGCGGUAAUACGGGGGGUGCGAGCGUUAAUCGGAAUAACUGGGCGUAAAGGGCACGCAGGCGGUGACUUAAGUGAGAUGUGAAAGCCCCGAGCUUAACUUGGGAAUUGCAUUUCAUACUGGGUCGCUAGAGUACUUUAGGGAGGGGUAGAAUUCCACGUGUAGCGGUGAAAUGCGUAGAGAUGUGGAGGAAUACCGAAGGCGAAGGCAGCCCCUUGGGAAUGUACUGACGCUCAUGUGCGAAAGCGUGGGGAGCAAACAGGAU